This 1207-nucleotide small RNA is filed under the name Histoplasma ohiense. Its description in RNAcentral is "hypothetical lncRNA". The record is from RNAcentral. Lineage: Eukaryota; Fungi; Ascomycota; Eurotiomycetes; Onygenales; Ajellomycetaceae.
UUGCCUGGUGAGAUUGCUCUUCUCUGCGCCAACGGCCCCGGCGCAUUCCUGAGUAAAGGUUUUCCUGUUAUCUAGAAACGCUUAACUGAAUGGCAUCUGAGACCCACUUUUACACCGUUUGUUGCACCGACACCCUAAGUUGUUAAACUCCUAUGAAGCCGCGGAAAUUGGCGACCUCCGUGAAAUUACCCUACUUGCGGUUGUUAAGUCUCUGCCCUACGGCGGAAUUCUGAACCAACACAGGAGUUGCAAUCUUCGGAAUGUGCCUCAUGACGCGUCAGAACAUAGCCAUUACGAUCGAUUUUUUGUGACCAUAGUGUUGUCGGCGCUUUUAAAAUUACAAGAAAAAUAUGUGCCGUGACCUUCCAGUCAUGAUAGUGGAAUCUGGCACACUAGGAUAUGCACUAUCCCUCCGCCCCACAGCUCUUUGCCCUCUAUCCCAAUAUUGGAGUCCAAAGGAUCGAAAGCGACUAAAUCAACUCUAGCCAGCCAUUUUCGACGAAAAGCUAAGGCUACAUACGAAAGCUAAACAUACACCAUCUUUCUCUUAAUACAAGAAUUGCUUGCUCAAUUUUACCUGAUGGACCAAGAAAUGCGCUAUACCAAAAUGCUGCGGCCUGGUGUCCUACCAUGAUUGCGAAUGUUGACUACUCACUCCUGGGUAAAUGAAGCCGUCAUACACCAGGAACUUUUUGUAGAACAGAACGCUGUCGUUAGGAAGCCGGGACGAAGCUGGUCGUUGUAUUGCUUGGCAAAAAUGACACCGGCUUAAAUCGUCUUGGGUAAAUCAAGGUGUUUGCGGGCGUGUAUCAAGACUAACUACGAUACGUUGGUAACUAAUACCACGAGGUUGACAAAUGAGUCUGCGAAAAAACUGCGCUACGUUCGAACAAUCAAUCCACUAAAACCUGAGGUGAAGCAGUGAGCUGAACAGAGAGACGCAACCUGCAUUUGUACAGUACAUUGGUUUAAAGAUAAUAUAUUCCUCCCGUCACGACAAAUAAUGCCCGCUUUAAGCAAAGUCGAUGGCCUCGACUUCCCAGUCCAGACAUUCCUCCCGACAGUCCACCACCUCAAUAUCGAGGAGCCAAUUAUUAUCCUAAUCAGCGAAAGUUGCUUUAUAACAACAUUCUUGUCCCUUUUACGAACUCUCGUUCCUUUCCUCGGAAAGGAACAAUAACUGGUAGAGUCCAAGCAAUAGCCACGG